UUUCCCUCUGCAGAGGGACGGUACACGCGAUAAGAUCAUUUGCUAACCUUUGACCAGCGCGCCGCGGCUUCCUCGGUUUUUAAGCUCUUUGAUUGCAGAUAACGGGCGAACCUGGCGCUUUUAACUUUGGAGCGCCGUCGCCAAAUAGAUCGGGCUUCGGUUGUGCCUUCUACCAUUGUUAGUCGCUCUGAUUUCUCCUGAAGGAAGGAGGAAUGUAGCCUAAUGGAAGUCUGCUAUGAUUAGUAUUUGCAAAUGCUAACCAUUGCUGGGGGGGCAAAGGAAACUUUGCAAGGGCGUUUAUUCUCGCCUGCAAACCACAACGAUCAAGUAAUUUCCAAAGGGGGGGGGAACUGUUGGUAUUCAGGGGGUCGGGAGUUUUGAAUGUCCGCAUCAAAGCCGUUUCACUGACGGUUUCUCUGACGGGGAGGGCGGACAGUCCCCUCGCAUGGUUCUGAAACAGGUUCGAAGCGUUAUUCGCUUCUUAGGCUGGGAAGCUUUGGGUCUCUAGCAGGCCCCGGGGGGCGCCACGGGGGCUUCAGUUUGCUACGGGAAUGGAUGCAUUUCGGAUGCUGCGUUUCCACGAGAGAAGGAAGGGGGAAAACAGAAGGCGGGAGGAAGGAAAGAAUGGCUGGGAGAGUUAGAAAUAAAGAGCAAAAACGGAACGAGGAACGAGGAAGGAAGGCCGGCAAACAGAAAGGGAAUUGGGGCGGCGUUGCUUCCUCCCUGUCGUCCGCCGCUUAAAGGAGGGCCNCUCGGAUCUCCUCGCCAGGGCUGGACCGUCAGAGAGCAAACUCGACCAGGGACUGUGCGACAGAGCCGCGUGCGGGCACCCCCGCACGGACUCCGGACUUGCCAAAGCCGGUGUCCCCUCGGCAUCCCCCCCUCCUUCACCCGGGAAGAGCUAAAGGAAGCUGCCGCCGCGCUGGCCGUGGUCGACAGGACUGCCAAGUCUCCGUCGUGACUGCAAACGGAUUGGGCUCCGCGCGUGAAUAACGCGCAGGGGUCCAGACUUCUCCUCUCGGGGUAAACAAAAGAAGUGGAGUUCCCCCCAGGGAUCAGUUGAAAGUUAAAGCGGAG
Molecule: long non-coding RNA, 1077 nt
Filed under: Salvator merianae (Argentine black and white tegu)
Lineage: Eukaryota; Metazoa; Chordata; Lepidosauria; Squamata; Teiidae
Description: lncRNA (ENSSMRG00000014524.1)
Source: RNAcentral